GUGGGGAAUAUUGGGCAAUGGGCGAAAGCCUGACCCAGCAACGCCGCGUGAGGGAAGAAGGCCUUCGGGUUGUAAACCUCUGUCCUUGGUGACGAAACAAAUGACGGUAGCCAAGGAGGAAGCCCCGGCUAACUACGUGCCAGCAGCCGCGGUAAUACGUAGGGGGCGAGCGUUGUCCGGAAUUACUGGGCGUAAAGGGUGCGUAGGUGGCCUUUUAAGUUGGAUGUGAAAUACCCGGGCUUAACUUGGGGGGUGCAUCUAAUACUGGAGGGCUAGAGUGCAGGAGAGGGAAGCGGAAUUCCUAGUGUAGCGGUGAAAUGCGUAGAUAUUAGGAGGAACACCAGUGGCGAAGGCGGCUUGCUGGACAUUAACUGACGCUGAGGCGCGAAAGCGUGGGGAGCAAACAGGAUUAGAAACCCGAGUAGUCC
This 428-nucleotide ribosomal RNA is filed under the name uncultured bacterium. Its description in RNAcentral is "partial 16S ribosomal RNA". It matches the Rfam family "Bacterial small subunit ribosomal RNA", at positions 354 to 796 of the family's 1533-position model. The record is from RNAcentral.